This 63-nucleotide transfer RNA is filed under the name Antechinomys laniger. RNAcentral's name for it is "tRNA-Lys". Lineage: Eukaryota; Metazoa; Chordata; Mammalia; Dasyuromorphia; Dasyuridae. The record is from RNAcentral.
CCUCUUUGAGAAAUUAAUAUAAUACUGAGGUAUUAUUAGAGCUUAGACCCUCCUCAAAGCUGU